RNAcentral lists this transfer RNA (85 nucleotides) under Felis catus (domestic cat). It matches the Rfam family "tRNA". Rfam says of the family: Transfer RNA (tRNA) molecules are approximately 80 nucleotides in length. Their secondary structure includes four short double-helical elements and three loops (D, anti-codon, and T loops). Further hydrogen bonds mediate the characteristic L-shaped molecular structure. tRNAs have two regions of fundamental functional importance: the anti-codon, which is responsible for specific mRNA codon recognition, and the 3' end, to which the tRNAs corresponding amino acid is attached (by aminoacyl-tRNA synthetases). tRNAs cope with the degeneracy of the genetic code in two manners: having more than one tRNA (with a specific anti-codon) for a particular amino acid; and 'wobble' base-pairing, i.e. permitting non-standard base-pairing at the 3rd anti-codon position. The record is from Rfam by way of RNAcentral. Lineage: Eukaryota; Metazoa; Chordata; Mammalia; Carnivora; Felidae. RNAcentral also lists the same sequence under 2 other names.
GCCUGGGUGGCUCAGUCAGUUAAGCAUCUGAUUUCAGCUCAGGUCAUGAUCUCACAGUUUGUGGGUUCAAACCCUGCAUCAGGUU